Molecule: long non-coding RNA, 689 nt
Organism: Culex quinquefasciatus (southern house mosquito)
Lineage: Eukaryota; Metazoa; Arthropoda; Insecta; Diptera; Culicidae
Exons: 2
Source: RefSeq, a predicted model, not a curated record
GUCAAAUUCAACCUUUCUUUACUCAUGUUCGUUUCACCGUGCUCUUCAUCAUUCGAAAUGUCAGCCAUGUUUGUUUGUUUGCAUCUCGAAGAAAAUAGUUGUCAAAGUAAUCGCCUUGCAAUUUCGCUACAAUAUUAAAAUUACUGAACGGAAAAUACAUUUUCCACUGGGAUCGACCUCAUUUUACAACCAAGGAGGAAUCUAUUGUAAAAGUUGCUGAAAUCAUCGUGAUGGAUCUCGCUCCGGACCUGCUAAGGGCAAUUCGGCGUAUCUUCUUAAUCCGGCAAAUGAGCGACAAAAUCUAGCUCGGUUCCGGUUUGCACCGUUGUGAAAGUUCUUCCGGCAGGUUGAUGUUCCGCCUUAGAAGCUGGUUGAACUUGUUCUGGAACUCGCCCCGAAAAUUGAAUGUGAACCGCAGUGAUAGAAUUGUGAAGUGACUUUUUUCCAACUUGGCCAGAUACACGUCUUUUGCAGCGGUGUGACUAACGCGACGGGUUGCCGGAAGAUGUCAUCAAAUGAAGAUGAAGAACAAGAACCGGCCGAAUAGGAACUGCAUCCAGCAGAGAUUGUGACGAAGUACCCAGCAGUGACCGAUUGAAUUAAAAGUGUGUGUGUUAAAUGAUGUGAAAUACAAAAAUAGUUCAAAACCUGUAAAGAAAAUAUAAUAAAUAAACUUUUUCAUUCCUAAA